UGAGUAACUAUCUAAUUAACCAGUACUCCUGAGAAUAAAAAAUUCAGUGUGGGGAAGGUGAAGUACCUUUCUGCUCUUCCCUUUUCUCUUGCAGGACCUUAUGCACCAAAGCACAGAUCUCUCUCUACCAUUGUCUUCUGUGCAGACAAGCUGCUGGAGGGGAAUGCAAUGAACUUGCCAAUGUGUUUAAAAGUGGACUUGGCCAAAGGGCCUGAUCCUGAGAGGUUCUGGAUACCCACAGGAGGAAGCACUGGUCCUGCACUUGUAACAGAUUGCAGGCAGAGUUAGCAUCCCAGUGCAAGUGCAGCAGCAAGUAUAAAGAGCCUAGCGGAAAGAGGAAGAUGUCUGUUCCCAGAGAUUACUUGGCUUGUGGGGAAAAGGAAUUGAGGGACCGGCCCUGGCCUGACAUGCUGGAGUCGAGAGGCACAGAAGGGGG
Non-coding RNA from Pelodiscus sinensis (Chinese soft-shelled turtle), 436 nucleotides. NCBI's taxonomy places the organism in Eukaryota, Metazoa, Chordata, Testudines, Trionychidae. The record is from RefSeq and is a predicted model, not a curated record.